CCUACGGGCGGCAGCAGUGAGGAAUAUUGGUCAAUGGGCGAGAGCCUGAACCAGCCAAGUCGCGUGAGGGAGUACUGCCCUAUGGGUUGUAAACCUCUUUUGUCGGGGAGCAAAAGCCGGACGUGUCCGGCUGUGAGAGUACCCGAAGAAAAAGCAGCGGCUAACUCCGUGCCAGCAGCCGCGGUAAUACGGAGGAUGCGAGCGUUAUCCGGAUUGAUUGGGUUUAAAGGGUGCGCAGGCGGAUUUUUAAGUCAGCGGUCAAAGCGUGGGGCUCAACCCCAUCCCGCCGUUGAAACUGGGGAUCUAGAGUGUGCGAGAGGUAUGCGGACUGCGUGGUGUAGCGGUGAAAUGCAUAGAUAUCACGCAGAACCCCGAUUGCGAAGGCAGCAUACCGGUGCACAACUGACGCUCAGGCACGAAAGCGUGGGUAUCGAACAGGAUUAGAUACCCGUGUAGUC
This 458-nucleotide ribosomal RNA is filed under the name uncultured bacterium. RNAcentral's name for it is "partial 16S ribosomal RNA". It matches the Rfam family "Bacterial small subunit ribosomal RNA", at positions 338 to 795 of the family's 1533-position model. The record is from RNAcentral.